AGCGAACGCUGGCGGCAGGCCUAACACAUGCAAGUCGAACGAACUCUUCGGAGUUAGUGGCGGACGGGUGAGUAACACGUGGGAACGUGCCUUUAGGUUCGGAAUAACUCAGGGAAACUUGUGCUAAUACCGAAUGUGCCCUUCGGGGGAAAGAUUUAUCGCCUUUAGAGCGGCCCGCGUCUGAUUAGCUAGUUGGUGAGGUAAAGGCUCACCAAGGCGACGAUCAGUAGCUGGUCUGAGAGGAUGAUCAGCCACAUUGGGACUGAGACACGGCCCAAACUCCUACGGGAGGAAGCAGUGGGGAAUCUUGCGCAAUGGGCGAAAGCCUGACGCAGCCAUGCCGCGUGAAUGAUGAAGGUCUUAGGAUUGUAAAAUUCUCUCACCGGGGACGAUAAUGACGGUACCCGGAGAAGAAGCCCCGGCUAACUUCGUG
This 433-nucleotide ribosomal RNA is filed under the name uncultured bacterium. RNAcentral's name for it is "partial 16S ribosomal RNA". It matches the Rfam family "Bacterial small subunit ribosomal RNA", at positions 29 to 507 of the family's 1533-position model. The record is from RNAcentral.